Centrocercus urophasianus (Greater sage-grouse) is the source of this 482-nucleotide long non-coding RNA. RefSeq lists it as uncharacterized. The transcript has 4 exons. The record is from RefSeq and is a predicted model, not a curated record. NCBI's taxonomy places the organism in Eukaryota, Metazoa, Chordata, Aves, Galliformes, Phasianidae.
AGAGAGUAGUCUGAAAGGAUUAGAAGAUCGAAGGGAAUGGAAGCUUUCAGAAGGAGGAAGGGUCAGGUCUGUCUUGGACAACUCACCCCACAGAAGCAAGAGGGAGGCUGUUCCAGUAACUUCUGUGGGAGGCCUAGCUGGGAUGCCAUCAUCAGGCACAACCCCUGUUCCCAGGCAGGAUUUCAGCCCAUUUCAAGGACUAACUCAGCUCCAGCCUCUAGAGCUUUGAUCUGCUUGAAAACUCAGACAUCAGUAAGGCGGUUAAGUUUAUAUAUUGAAUCAUAUGAAGUAUGGAUUAUGCAGAACGGCCCACCUCUAGUUUUGAGUGAAAGGAGGUCAACAUUUUACAGGACUUUACAGGACAGAACCUUAAGUACUGCAAGAGUUCCUGACACCAGUGAAUGAGUCCAUGCAGCAGAUCAUAAACACAUCACCAAGUCAUGAUUUUGGAACAUCACUUCCUGCUGAUACCUAAAUAUUAA